AACGAACGCUGGCGGCAUGCCUAACACAUGCAAGUCGAACGGGAUCCUAGCUUGCUAGGUGAGAGUGGCGGACGGGUGAGUAACACGUGGGAAUCUGCCUUUUGGUUCGGGAUAACCGCGGGAAACUGCGGCUAAUACCGAAUGCCCUCGUGAGAGGAAAGAUUUAUCGCCAGAAGAGGAGCCCGCGUCCGAUUAGGUAGUUGGUGGGGUAAAGGCCUACCAAGCCGACGAUCGGUAGCUGGUCUGAGAGGAUGAUCAGCCACACCGGGACUGAGAUACGGCCCAGACUCCUACGGGAGGCAGCAGUGGGGAAUAUUGGACAAUGGGGGCAACCCUGAUCCAGCAAUGCCGCGUGAGUGAUGAAGGCCUUAGGGUUGUAAAGCUCUUUGCCAGGGAAGAUAAUGACAGUACCGGGAGAAUAAGCCCCGGCUAACUCCGUGCCAGCAGCCGCGGUAAU
This 457-nucleotide ribosomal RNA is filed under the name uncultured bacterium. Its description in RNAcentral is "bacterial SSU rRNA". It matches the Rfam family "Bacterial small subunit ribosomal RNA", at positions 29 to 524 of the family's 1533-position model. The record is from RNAcentral.